This is a long non-coding RNA of Pimephales promelas (fathead minnow), 1007 nucleotides long. RefSeq lists it as uncharacterized. The record is from RefSeq and is a predicted model, not a curated record. Lineage: Eukaryota; Metazoa; Chordata; Actinopteri; Cypriniformes; Leuciscidae.
GUUUGUACUUGUUUAAAUUCAAACAAUAGCAUACUACUUACACGUGAGUCCUGAUUGGUUCCAGAGCCAUUGAAUGGUUGUGAUUGGUUCUUAUGAUAAUGAGCUCGCCUCACACCGCCUGAAAGGACUUUGACCUCACUCAGAGCCUCCGUUUGUCCGACAAUAUUCUGUUGUGCGUAAAUGUUACUUGACUGUGAUUAGAUUUAGAGGUCUAUAUUUGAACAUGUCUUUAGAGGACUAUGAAGAAACCACGCGAUGCGGAUUAGGUGAUAUUUUUUUGUGAUUAACUUUUUAAAACGUAGCGUUUUGAGAAGACAUACUGUAGUGUUGAUUUUACCCAGCUUCUUCAAGUUUGCAUGGCGUGUGACAUUUGGAACCUCAUUAUGUUGUGAUUCUAGUUCAGCUACAUUCAAUUUGACCAAUCAUAGCCAAGCUUUUCAAGUGACGUCGAAGCAGACUCGAAGAGAUGAAGAUGCUGCCUUAGUAGAAGUUACUGACAGCUGCUAUAAGAAAAAUUGAAAUUGGAAAGAAAACGCAAUUCUAAUGCGGAUGUUAAAUUCAACCAGAGGUUUGCGACUUCUUCUGUCCGUUAUCUUGUAAUACGGGAAUGCUGUGAUAUUGAAUUAAAACAAUGUUCUGUCCUAAUAUUUUUCAUAAUGAGUUACUAUAAAGUGUACUUUCUUUUUCAAGUGUGUAAAGUUUUAUCGUGAAAAUCAGCAUAAUGUUAGUAUAGUAAACGUGUAAUAUAUUUACAAAGUACAAUUCUGUGCAAGUAUUGGCAAUGUACUAUUGAAAAUGUGAAUAUACUGUAUUUAUUGACCAAUAAAGUACUUUUUUCACCUGGAAAGUGUGUUCAGUAGUCCCUUAUUUAAUUCAGCCUUCAGUAUACUGGUAGCCUACAUGCUAACCAAAAAGUAGCCUAGCAGAUAAUAACAGAUAUUGAUAAGUAGCUAAAAACUGUACUUUCUUACUAAUUUGAAUAAACCCAAAGUAGAACUGAGCAUACU